Molecule: ribosomal RNA, 465 nt
Filed under: uncultured bacterium
Lineage: Bacteria
Description: partial 16S ribosomal RNA
Rfam family: Bacterial small subunit ribosomal RNA
Source: RNAcentral
CCUACGGGAGGCAGCAGUGGGGAAUAUUGCGCAAUGGGCGAAAGCCUGACGCAGCGACGCCGCGUGAGGGAUGAAGGUCUUCGGAUCGUAAACCUCUGUCAGCAGGGAAGUACGGUCACUGUGCUAAUCAGCAGUGAAUUGACGGUACCUGCAAAGGAAGCACCGGCUAACUCCGUGCCAGCAGCCGCGGUAAUACGGAGGGUGCGAGCGUUAAUCGGAAUUACUGGGCGUAAAGCGCUCGUAGGCGGUAUGUCAAGUCAAGGGUGAAAUCCCCGCGCUCAACGUGGGAACUGCCUUUGAAACUGGCAGACUGGAGUGUGUGAGAGGAUAGUGGAAUUCGAGGGGUAGGAGUGAAAUCCGUAGAUAUCUGGAGGAACAUCAGUGGCGAAGGCGACUAUCUGGCACAUAACUGACGCUGAGGAGCGAAAGCGUGGGUAGCAAACAGGAUUAGAUACCCGUGUAGUC